RNAcentral lists this ribosomal RNA (430 nucleotides) under uncultured bacterium. RNAcentral describes it as "bacterial SSU rRNA". It matches the Rfam family "Bacterial small subunit ribosomal RNA", at positions 354 to 796 of the family's 1533-position model. The record is from RNAcentral.
GUGGGGAAUAUUGCACAAUGGGCGAAAGCCUGAUGCAGCAACGCCGCGUGAGGGACGACGGCCUUCGGGUUGUAAACCUCUUUUAGUAGGGAAGAAGCGAAAGUGACGGUACCUGCAGAAAAAGCACCGGCUAACUACGUGCCAGCAGCCGCGGUAAUACGUAGGGUGCAAGCGUUAUCCGGAAUUAUUGGGCGUAAAGAGCUCGUAGGCGGUCUGUCGCGUCUGCUGUGAAAACUGGAGGCUCAACCUCCAGCCUGCAGUGGGUACGGGCAGACUAGAGUGCGGUAGGGGAGAUUGGAAUUCCUGGUGUAGCGGUGAAAUGCGUAGAUAUAGGAAGGAACACCGAUGGCGAAGGCAGAUCUCUGGGCCGUAACUGACGCUGAGGAGCGAAAGCGUGGGGAGCGAACAGGAUUAGAAACCCGAGUAGUCC